RNAcentral lists this ribosomal RNA (789 nucleotides) under uncultured archaeon. RNAcentral describes it as "bacterial SSU rRNA". It matches the Rfam family "Archaeal small subunit ribosomal RNA", at positions 85 to 876 of the family's 1478-position model. The record is from RNAcentral.
ACGGCUCAGUAACACGUAGUCAACCUAACUCGUGGACGUGGAUAACCUCGGGAAACUGAGAAUAAACCACGAUAGAUCAUAAUGCCUGGAAUGGCUUAUGGUCCAAACAGUUUACUGCCAUGGGAUGGGACUGCGGCCUAUCAGCUUGUUGGUGAGGUAAUGGCCCACCAAGGCGAUUACAGGUACGGGCUCUGAGAGGAGAAGCCCGGAGAUGGGUACUGAGACACGGACCCAGGCCCUAUGGGGCGCAGCAGGCGAGAAACCUUAGCAAUGUGCGAAAGCACGACUGGGUCAGUCCGAGUGAUUCCUGAUAAAGGAGUCUUUUGCUUGUCCUAAAAGCACAGGUGAAUAAGGGGUGGGCAAGUCUGGUGUCAGCCGCCGCGGUAAUACCAGCACCUCGAGUGGUCAGGACGUUUAUUGGGCCUAAAGCAUCCGUAGCCGGCUCUGCAAGUCUUCGGUUAAAUCCACCUGCUCAACAGAUGGGCUGCUGGAGAUACUACAGAGCUAGGGAGUGGGAGAGGCAGACGGUAUUCAGUGGGUAGGGGUAAAAUCCUCUGAUCCAUUGAGGACCACCAGUGGCGAAGGCGGUCUGCCAGAACACGUUCGACGGUGAGGGAUGAAAGCUGGGGGAGCAAACCGGAUUAGAUACCCGGGUAGUCCCAGCUGUAAACGAUGCAAACUCGGUGAUGCAUUGGCUUAUGGCCAAUGCAGUGCCGCAGGGAAGCCGUUAAGUUUGCCGCCUGGGAAGUACGGACGCAAGUCUGAAACUUAAAGGAAUUGGCGGGGGAG